AUUUCUCUCAAUGAACACUGCCGGUUAUCUCUCAAAAUGUUAUUUUGUGUUACAUUAGCAAUUAUAUCAGCUGUGUCAUCAGCUGCAGAUCUAACAAAUGUAGAUGAUUGUCCAACUAGGGGUGUUAUGGUCUGUUGAAAAGAUUUCAAAGCUUAUGAGCUCGUUUUCUUGGAUUAUAACGUACGGCUUGAAGAAAGUGAAAAAGUCCUGGAAAGAAAAUGCAAGAAUACGAUGUCAGUUAUGAAAUGUGCAAUAGACUUUGCAAAAACAUGUUCAAACUAUUUGGAAAACCCCUAUUAUUUGGCUCUUUAAGAUCUCUACUCCACUUUGAAUAACAUUUGUGACAAGAAUAAUGCCAUUAGACGAUCGUACAUAGAAAAUGCCAAGUGUCUAAAUAAACAAAACUCGCAGCUGGAUGAGAAAUGCGGUGAACGGCCACAGUAUAAUGAAUAUGGAAAUUCGACUAAGGAGAUAUGUUCAACUCUAAAAAAAGGUUAAAAUGUUAUUAUGAAGACAUUGAAGAGAAAUGCGGAACAGAAGCUGUACUGGUAACAAAGGAAAGAAUAUCACCCAUUACCAAGCUCUGGGACAGAGAAUGCAGUGAACUGUAGUUCUAACAUAUACAACUGUUAUAAAAUAUAUAUGCUGAAUCGCUUGAACGCGAAAUUGCUUUAAAUAAGUAAAUGUAUUAAUUUGGCUUUCAUACUUUUAAGCUUACUAUUAUUAUUCUUUGAUUAAUAAAAUUUGUUUUAUCCUUCA
Long non-coding RNA from Stegodyphus dumicola, 759 nucleotides. RefSeq lists it as uncharacterized. The record is from RefSeq and is a predicted model, not a curated record. NCBI's taxonomy places the organism in Eukaryota, Metazoa, Arthropoda, Arachnida, Araneae, Eresidae.